GGAGUUUGGGCCGUGUCUCAGUCCCAAUGUGGCCGGUCACUCUCUCAAGUCGGCUACUGAUCGUCGCUUUGGUGGGCCGUUACCCCGCCAACUGGCUAAUCAGACGCGUAUCCAUCUUAUACCGCCGGAGCUUUUCGCACUGUACCAUGCGGUACUGUGCGCUUAUGCGGUAUUAACAGCAGUUUCCCGCUGUUAUCCCCCUGUAUAAGGCAGGUUAUCCACGCGUUACUCACCCGUCCGCCACUCGCGCCCGAAGGCGCUCGUUCGACUUGCAUGUGUUAGGCACGCCGCCAGCGUUCAUC
This 302-nucleotide ribosomal RNA is filed under the name uncultured Coprococcus sp. Its description in RNAcentral is "partial 16S ribosomal RNA". The record is from RNAcentral. Lineage: Bacteria; Bacillati; Bacillota; Clostridia; Lachnospirales; Lachnospiraceae.